This 1172-nucleotide ribosomal RNA is filed under the name Aeribacillus alveayuensis. RNAcentral describes it as "partial 23S ribosomal RNA". It matches the Rfam family "Bacterial large subunit ribosomal RNA", at positions 689 to 1858 of the family's 2925-position model. The record is from RNAcentral. Lineage: Bacteria; Bacillati; Bacillota; Bacilli; Caryophanales; Bacillaceae.
AGGGCGAAAGGAGUACGAGGUCGUAGACCCGAAACCAGGUGAUCUACCCAUGUCCAGGGUGAAGUUCAGGUAACACUGAAUGGAGGCCCGAACCCACGCACGUUGAAAAGUGCGGGGAUGAGGUGUGGGUAGGGGUGAAAUGCCAAUCGAACUUGGAGAUAGCUGGUUCUCUCCGAAAUAGCUUUAGGGCUAGCCUCAAGGUGAGAGUCUUGGAGGUAGAGCACUGAUUGGACUAGGGGCCCUCAUCGGGUUACCGAAUUCAGUCAAACUCCGAAUGCCAAAGACUUAUCCUUGGGAGUCAGACUACGAGUGAUAAGAUCCGUGGUCGAAAGGGAAACAGCCCAGACCGCCAGCUAAGGUCCCCAAGUAUACGUUAAGUGGAAAAGGAUGUGGAGUUGCUUAGACAACCAGGAUGUUGGCUUAGAAGCAGCCACCAUUUAAAGAGUGCGUAAUAGCUCACUGGUCGAGUGACUCUGCGCCGAAAAUGUACCGGGGCUAAACGUAUCACCGAAGCUGCGGACUGUUCUUCGAACAGUGGUAGGAGAGCGUUCUAAGGGCGUCGAAGCUAGACCGUGAGGACUAGUGGAGCGCUUAGAAGUGAGAAUGCCGGUAUGAGUAGCGAAAGAGGGGUGGGAAUCCCCUCCACCGAAUGCCUAAGGUUUCCUGAGGAAGGCUCGUCCGCUCAGGGUUAGUCGGGACCUAAGCCGAGGCCGAAAGGCGUAGGCGAUGGAGAACAGGUUGAUAUUCCUGUACCACCUCCUCACCGUUUGAGCGAUGGGGGGACGCAGGAGGAUAGGGUAAGCGCGGCGCUGGUUGACCGCGUCCAAGCAGUUAGGCUGAUAAGCAGGCAAAUCCGCUUAUCAUGAGGCUGAGCUGUGAUGGCGAGGGAAAUAGAGUACCGAAGUUCCUGAUUCCACACUGCCAAGAAAAGCCUCUAGCGAGGUGAGAGGUGCCCGUACCGCAAACCGACACAGGUAGGCGAGGAGAGAAUCCUAAGGUGAGCGAGAGAACCCUCGUUAAGGAACUCGGCAAAAUGACCCCGUAACUUCGGGAGAAGGGGUGCUCUGGUAGGGUGAUAAGCCCGAGAGAGCCGCAGUGAAUAGGCCCAGGCGACUGUUUAGCAAAAACACAGGUCUCUGCGAAACCGAAAGGUGAAGUAUAGGGGCUGACGC